RNAcentral lists this ribosomal RNA (374 nucleotides) under uncultured organism. RNAcentral describes it as "partial 16S ribosomal RNA". It matches the Rfam family "Bacterial small subunit ribosomal RNA", at positions 527 to 896 of the family's 1533-position model. The record is from RNAcentral.
GAACCGUACAAACGUUAUUCGGAAUCACUGGGCUUAAAGGGUGUGUAGGCGGUCUGGCAAGUUGGGUGUGAAAUUCCUCGGCUCAACCGAGGAAUUGCGCUCAAUACUGCCAGACUUGAGGGAGACAGAGGUGAGCGGAACUUAGGGUGGAGCGGUGAAAUGCGUUGAUAUCCUAAGGAACACCAGUGGCGUAAGCGGCUCACUGGGUCUCUUCUGACGCUGAGACACGAAAGCUAGGGGAGCGAACGGGGGAUUAGAUACCCCGGUAGUCCUAGCUGUAAACGAUGAGCACUGGGUCGGAGGGUCCUCCAUAGCCCUUCCGGCCGUAGCGAAAGUGUUAAGUGCUCCGCCUGGGGAGUAUGGUCGCAAGGCUG